GACGAACGCUGGCGGCGUGCUUAACACAUGCAAGUCGAACGAGGUUAUGUGAAGGAAAGCUUCGGCUGGAAUUUAUAUAACCGAGUGGCGGACGGGUGAGUAACGCGUGAGGAACCUGCCUUCUACAGGGGGAUAACGGUCCGAAAGGAUUGCUAAUACCGCAUAAGACCACGAGGCCGCAUGGCCAUGAGGUCAAAGGAGAAAUCCGGUAGAAGGUGGACUCGCGUCCCAUUAGAUAGUUGGUGAGGUAACGGCCCACCAAGUCGACGAUGGGUAGCCGACCUGAGAGGGUGAUCGGCCACAUUGGAACUGAGAUACGGUCCAGACUCC
This 330-nucleotide ribosomal RNA is filed under the name uncultured Coriobacteriales bacterium. RNAcentral describes it as "bacterial SSU rRNA". It matches the Rfam family "Bacterial small subunit ribosomal RNA", at positions 28 to 339 of the family's 1533-position model. The record is from RNAcentral. Lineage: Bacteria; Bacillati; Actinomycetota; Coriobacteriia; Coriobacteriales.